UGGGGGAUAUUGCGCAAUGGGGGAAACCCUGACGCAGCAACGCCGCGUGAAGGAAGAAGGUUUUCGGAUCGUAAACUUCUGUUCUUAGGGAAGAAGAAAGUGACGGUACCUAAGGAGCAAGCCACGGCUAACUACGUGCCAGCAGCCGCGGUAAUACGUAGGUGGCAAGCGUUGUCCGGAUUUACUGGGUGUAAAGGGCGCGUAGGCGGGAUAUCAAGUCAGUCGUGAAAUACCGGGGCUCAACUCCGGGGCUGCGAUUGAAACUGAUAUUCUUGAGUAUCGGAGAGGAAAGCGGAAUUCCUAGUGUAGCGGUGAAAUGCGUAGAUAUUAGGAGGAACACCAGUGGCGAAGGCGGCUUUCUGGACGACAACUGACGCUGAGGCGCGAAAGUGUGGGGAGCAAACAGG
This 407-nucleotide ribosomal RNA is filed under the name uncultured bacterium. RNAcentral's name for it is "bacterial SSU rRNA". It matches the Rfam family "Bacterial small subunit ribosomal RNA", at positions 355 to 776 of the family's 1533-position model. The record is from RNAcentral.